Molecule: ribosomal RNA, 400 nt
Filed under: uncultured bacterium
Lineage: Bacteria
Description: bacterial SSU rRNA
Rfam family: Bacterial small subunit ribosomal RNA
Source: RNAcentral
UGAGGAAUAUUGGUCAAUGGGCGCAAGCCUGAACCAGCCAUCCCGCGUGAAGGAUGAAGGCCCUAUGGGUCGUAAACUUCUUUUAUACACCAAGAAAAAGCAGGACGUGUCCUGCCCCGACGGUAGUGUAUGAAUAAGCAUCGGCUAACUCCGUGCCAGCAGCCGCGGUAAUACGGAGGAUGCAAGCGUUAUCCGGAUUCAUUGGGUUUAAAGGGUGCGUAGGCGGCUUUUUAAGUCAGUGGUGAAAUCUUGCCGCUUAACGGUAAAAUUGCCAUUGAUACUGAGAAGCUUGAGUAUAUUUGAGGUAAGCGGAAUGUGUAGUGUAGCGGUGAAAUGCUUAGAUAUUACACAGAACACCAAUUGCGAAGGCAGCUUACUAAACUGUAACUGACGCUGAUGC